CAGCACAAGCGGCCGCUGAGCAAAAAAUGAUCAGACAGCACUGGCAGUGUGCCAAUCCUGGCCAAUACUGGAAGUGUUGGCGCGCUGCCCUCCCCCUGGCGGCACGUCGACAGGGGCGCAAAGGACCAACCGCCCUUGUUUGACUCCUAAUGGUCUUGACCCGGAUUCCCUCCCCCAGAACCCGG
Molecule: small RNA, 185 nt
Filed under: Pseudomonas cremoricolorata
Lineage: Bacteria; Pseudomonadati; Pseudomonadota; Gammaproteobacteria; Pseudomonadales; Pseudomonadaceae
Description: RgsA sRNA
Rfam family: RgsA sRNA (bases 22-185)
About the family: P16 sRNA appears to be conserved across several Pseudomonas species and Azotobacter vinelandii. In these species it is consistently located downstream of a predicted TatD deoxyribonuclease gene.
Source: Rfam by way of RNAcentral